AUAAAUAAAAUCUUUAAAAAAAAAAAAAAGGUGAGAAUUCAUAACUUGUUAGUUGGUACUCAUAAUGGCAAGGAGGUAAUAUGCCAAGGAAGAGGUUUCAGAGUGACUUUGGUGAAUGAGAAGAGGCUGUAAAUGGAAAUCCAGUAAGUUUGGAUUGAUCUAGUAAAUGCUGAUUAUUUCUCCUGAUACAAUGAAGCAACACUGCCUUCUGACUUUGUAUGUGGAAGUUUUUCCAAGGAGUUCCCAUCGGCUCUUGAAAAAUGGCUUUUGGCCAUUAAUUGUAUGUGAAUACUAUUAAUUGUAUAUUACGUAGUUAGUACAAUUACAUUUUGUAUCAUGGGAUGAUGUUUAAUCCUUUUUUUUUUUUGGAAAUGACAGUACUGUUCUGGAAUCUUACUCCACUGGAUAGAUUGAGAAGACAGCUGAAAAAUGGAAAUUGGGAAUUCAGUUUCUAGAUUUUAGAAUUUGAUUUGAAAUGGAUGAUUCUUACAUAAAAAUCUUUAAGGGCCUAGUAUAUGAUUUUUGCCUUGAUUUAUAUAAAAUGUGACAUAAUCUGACCACAUCCAAUUUUGUAUUACUGGGAUACUAGCUCUGUGGGCAUUGUUCAGAGAAACUACAUCACGUUUACUGAAUUGUCAGAAUUCUGAAGCAAAUUACAAGUGGUGAAUAAACAAUUUGGAGAAGGACUUGGGAGAGUAUGUAACGGGAGUGAAUUUUCUCAACUCUGUAAUGGCAUCUAAUUCAGCUGUGGAAAUUGACAGUGAAAGUGAUAGCUCUUCUUCUGGUAGCAGCUUAUUUAAAACUCAGUGUGUCUCACCUAAAAGGGUGCAAAGAAACCGUACUAGAAAGUUUGUUCAUUCACCUAAAGUUGCUCAAGCAAGGGAUUCAUCUAGUGACUCAUCUUUUGAACCAAGACCAUUGACUUUAAAAGCUAUUUUUGAGAGAUUCAAAAAAAGAAAACGUAAAAAGAAGAAAUACAAACCAACAGGAAGACCAAGAGGAAGACCAACCGGGAGAAAAAACAGUAGACGUUCCCAAAUAAAUAAGAAACAAGUUCAAGACAAAGGAUCUGGGUUCCCAUUUUUAGAAUCUGAGAAUGCAAGAAAACCAUUACCUUGGAGAAAAAUUUUAACCUUUGAGCAAGCAGUGGCAAGAGGAUUUUUCAACUACCUCGAAAAACUGAAGUAUGAAUACUACCUCAAGGAAUCCUUGAAACAAAUGAAUGUUGGUGAAGAUUUAGAAAAAGAAGAUUUUGACAGUCGUAGAUACAAAUACUUGGAUGAUGAUGGAGCUCUCUCGCCUAUUGAAGAGUCAGAAACAGAGGAUGGGUCUGCAACAAAUCUUGAACAAAAUGACGAAUGUGAUAUCAAAUUGGUGGACCAUAAUGAUUUCAUUAUAAGUUCUCAAGUACCAAAGAUGAAGAAUGUGUAUUUAGAACAAGAGGAACGUACUGAAGAAGCUGCUUUGUCUAAAAAGAGAGCAUCAAAGUCUAAAAACAUUGGACAGAGGAUAGAAUGGUCUGAAAAGAGAUAGGAAUAUGAAUGUUAAAGUAAACAGAAGAGAGAAAACAGCUUUUCAUAGAAAGUAAAGAUGAUAAAUACAAAUACAUAUGUUGGUGUAGUGAUAAAAGAGAACCUGCUAAGGAGAGAAGAAAAUCUGAACAAGUUAGUGAAACUCCUAAAGAAUUACUAGAAAAAAUAUUUUAAAACACAGUGAAAUUAUCACAGAAAAUUGAGGCUUGCAUAGCAGAAAUAAUCACUUGAGAAAUCAUAAACAGAAGAUCCAUUUUGCCUAUACUUGUUCGUUUCAGGGCUUUUCACUUGAACACAAUGUCUGGACUUAAAGGUACAUCUUACGCUUUAGGUGAGUGGAUCAGAUUUGUUGAAAUGUACUUUGUCAGUUCAUACCUCCACGGUUUCAUUACUAAAAGACAUUUUGCCAGUUUACAAUUUGACGUUUCAGAAAAAUGAAUUUUAGGGGCCACACAUUUUAUAGUGGAAGGUACAAGCUUCACUUUACUUGCAGGAAAGGGUUUCCACAAACUGUAAGUUACUUUAUAUUGAAAUAAUCAAAAUACUGGAUAUUUCUGUUUCAUGCAUUUAUUUUAAACUAAAGCAUAAUCUAAAAUAAGAUGUAGGAUUUAAUAGUGUAAUGUUAGAAAUGAUUAGAGGACACAAGAUUACCUAAAUCUGAAUGAUGCAAAAUUUAAUUAAAAAGCACCCAAUUUGUUUAUCUUCCAAUGAUUUUCUGAAUGGGAAGAACAACAAUAUAGCCACCUUAAUAUUUUCCUGUAUUUUUCUAUAAGUUACAUCAAGUAAUGAUAGCUCUUAAGAUGAGGCAAAAAAUUAAACACUUUGCUGUAAUCUGCGGAUGUCCUAGACAAAACAAGCUGUGAUACUGGAGUUUGCCGAAAUCAAGACUUAGGUAUGGAAAUCUUCCUUUGGUGGUUCUCUAGUAGCUGUUUUGUACUUACCUUCAGUCUUUGGUCUUUAUUCUCAGUGUAGACUGACUCCUUCCUGUAAGCAUUUUAAAAACCCUUACUGUGUAAUAUGUGGAAUGAUUUCUUUUAAUUUGUAAAUAUUUGGCUUUUUGCACACCUUUGAACUCAGAGACUUAGAGCAAAUUACAGUUCUAAUUGUUUUUCCUGUGGAAUCUUCCAAUUUUAAACUAAACAGUGUUGAGGUCUAUCCCGAUGGGGCUUUUUCUGUAGACCUACAUCGUUGGAAACGCCUCAUAGAGUAUUUGUGUGGUUUCCUUUAUUCACAGAACUAUGUGUUAGAUCUGUGGGAAAGAACUACAAGACACUUACCCUUAUCUGCUAAAACUCUGACCUAAUAGUCAUAUUUUUUAAAUCUUAGGUAUUGGUGUAUCCCAACAAUCUGUACAGUUCUAGGGUGAUAGUUUAGGGGUGAAUAUGAUUUGAACUCAUUCACAUUUAGAGGGUGUUUGAAAUUGAGAACCAGGCAGAUCCACACUCAGACCCUAAACAGGGCCCUGAAGUAAAGACAUUGGAUACCAAAGAUUACAGGUGGGGAGUUCUUAAAGUAUGUCCGUAUUCAAAUGGAGAUGCAAGAAACCCAGCUGAAAGAACUCUGGCAAGUUAAUUCGCUGUUGUACUGUAUAAUGGUAUAAUGGUCAUUACCAAGGCUUUGAGAAUGCAGUUUCUCAUUUGCUGUGGACAUGACCAUAAAAAAAUUUUCCAACUAGGUUUUCUUUCUUUCUGCUACUUUGGUGGUAGCAUUCAGCCUAUUGGGAACAUUUUACCAACUCUGUUCUAUUUCCAUUGCCUUAGAUUAGCACUAUCCAGUAUAAAUUUAACAGAAGCCAUACGUGAUUUGGUAAUGGUCCUAUUUCAGAUUCUCAUCUAAACAUACAUGGCUAGUAUACUGAACAGUGAAUGCCUAGAUCUCUAAGAGAUGUCUUUUGCUAACUCCUUCCAUAUUAAUAACAAGUUAGAAUAGAUUUAGUAGAGGGAGGCUGGCUUCAGUUUACAUGAUCAUCUCUGGAAUUGGAACCUUACUUUAUGUUCCUGUUAUAUAGGAGUGACAGUGACAACUGUGGAUUGAUCAAGUUCUUUUUAAAAGGGCCGUUUUGAAGAUUAUGAUUCUAACUUUGGAGGAACUAUGGUGAUGAGCAGUGACUGGCAGUGGAAGGAAUCACAUGUAAAAACUCCUUAAAUAAAAAUU
Molecule: RNA transcript, 3686 nt
Organism: Enhydra lutris kenyoni (northern sea otter)
Lineage: Eukaryota; Metazoa; Chordata; Mammalia; Carnivora; Mustelidae
Gene name: TATA-box binding protein associated factor, RNA polymerase I subunit D
Exons: 11
Source: RefSeq, a predicted model, not a curated record